AUGUCUUCCGGUGGUGGCGGGGGAGGGGAUCAGGGCCGUCAUGGCCUCUACCACCAGCAUGGUCACGGCCAACUCACCCGCUACGACGGCGCUGGCGGCUACGAGCUCAGCAACGACGACAUGGAGAGCUUCUUCUUCAACCAGCCCGAGGGCGUCGGCGGUGGUGUGCGCGCCGACGAGAUCGCGCCGUACUCGAGCAUCACGAGCUACCUGCAGGGGUUCUUGGACCCCACCGGGCUAGCUCGGCAUCUCGACGUGCCGGCCAAGCACGAGCUGUCGGUCGACGUUAGGAGCCAUGACCAAGAGAGCCAGGGCACCGGCAGCGCUGCUGGAGAAAGCGCGGCGCUGCUAACACCCAACUCAUCGGUAUCUUUCUCGUCCGGAGGCGGGGACGGUGAGGGAAAAUCUCGCCGGAGCAACAAGGGCCGGGCGCAGGAGGCGGAUGACCAGGAGGAUGGGAAGGACCAUGAAGAUGGGGAAAGUUCCAAGACAGCGAAUAACAAACCCAAAAAGAAAGCCGAGAAGAGGCUGCGGCUGCCCCGCGUCUCCUUCCUCACCAAGAGCGAGGUCGAUCACCUGGAGGACGGCUACCGCUGGCGCAAAUACGGCCAGAAGGCCGUCAAGAACAGCCCUUAUCCAAGGAGCUACUACCGGUGCACGACGCCCAAGUGCGGCGUGAAGAAGCGGGUGGAGCGGUCGUACCAGGACCCGUCGACGGUGAUCACCACGUACGAAGGGCAGCACACCCACCACAGCCCCGCCAGCCUCCGGGGAAGCGCCGCGCACCUCUUCAUGCCCCCCGGAUUCCACGGGCUCCCGCCGCCACACCUCAUGCCGCCGGGGGUGUUCCACCCAGAGCUGAUGAGCAUGAUGCGCAUGCCCUACCCAAGCCCUAACAUGCACCUGCUGAGCGUGCCACCGCCUCCCCAUCAUCAUCCAACCUCUCAUCCAAUGGCGGGAACUCUCCAGCAGCACUAUUUCACUGACUACGCGCUAUUGCAAGACCUCUCCCCUUCCACAAUGCCCAACAACCCCUGA
Molecule: ribosomal RNA, 1038 nt
Filed under: Triticum aestivum (bread wheat)
Lineage: Eukaryota; Viridiplantae; Streptophyta; Magnoliopsida; Poales; Poaceae
Description: partial small subunit ribosomal RNA
Source: RNAcentral